This 226-nucleotide ribosomal RNA is filed under the name uncultured bacterium. RNAcentral's name for it is "partial 16S ribosomal RNA". It matches the Rfam family "Bacterial small subunit ribosomal RNA", at positions 524 to 750 of the family's 1533-position model. The record is from RNAcentral.
UACGUAGGGGGCGAGCGUUGUCCGGAGUACUGGGCGUAAAGCGCACGCAGGCGGUCUGCUAAGUUUGGAGUGACAGUUGGUGGCUUAACUGCCAAAGUGCUUCGAAAACUGACAGACUUGAGGGCUUCAGAGGACCAUGGAAUUUCGGGUGUAGCGGUGGAAUGCGUAGAUAUCCGAAAGAACACCGGUGGCGAAGGCGGUGGUCUGGGCCUGAACUGACGCUGAG